AACGAACGCUGGCGGCAGGCCUAAAACAUGCAAGUCGAACGAACCUUCGGGUUAGUGGCGCACGGGUGAGUAACGCGUGGGAAUGUGCCUCUGGGUGCGGAACAACGUCGGGAAACUGACGCUAAUACCGCAUAAUGUCUACGGACCAAAGAUUUAUCGCCCAGAGAUCAGCCCGCGUCUGAUUAGCUAGUUGGUGAGGUAACGGCUCACCAAGGCUACGAUCAGUAGCUGGUCUGAGAGGAUGAUCAGCCACACUGGAACUGAGACACGGUCCAGACUCCUACGGGAGGCAGCAGUGAGGAAUAUUGGUCAAUGGGCGGAAGCCUGAACCAGCCAUGCCGCGUGCAGGAUGACGGCCCUACGGGUUGUAAACUGCUUUUCCCCGGGGCGAAUAACCCCCUCGCGAGGGGGAGUGGCCGGUACCGGGGAAGUAAGGAGUCGGCUAACUCCGUG
RNAcentral lists this ribosomal RNA (453 nucleotides) under uncultured bacterium. Its description in RNAcentral is "bacterial SSU rRNA". It matches the Rfam family "Bacterial small subunit ribosomal RNA", at positions 29 to 507 of the family's 1533-position model. The record is from RNAcentral.